RNAcentral lists this ribosomal RNA (549 nucleotides) under Aureobasidium pullulans. Its description in RNAcentral is "eukaryotic LSU rRNA". It matches the Rfam family "Eukaryotic large subunit ribosomal RNA", at positions 47 to 604 of the family's 3401-position model. The record is from RNAcentral. Lineage: Eukaryota; Fungi; Ascomycota; Dothideomycetes; Dothideales; Saccotheciaceae.
UAAGCGGAGGAAAAGAAACCAACAGGGAUUGCCCUAGUAACGGCGAGUGAAGCGGCAACAGCUCAAAUUUGAAAGCUAGCCUUCGGGUUCGCAUUGUAAUUUGUAGAGGAUGAUUUGGGGAAGCCGCCUGUCUAAGUUCCUUGGAACAGGACGUCAUAGAGGGUGAGAAUCCCGUAUGUGACAGGAAAUGGCACCCUAUGUAAAUCUCCUURGACGAGUCGAGUUGUUUGGGAAUGCAGCUCUAAAUGGGAGGUAAAUUUCUUCUAAAGCUAAAUAUUGGCGAGAGACCGAUAGCGCACAAGUAGAGUGAUCGAAAGAUGAAAAGCACUUUGGAAAGAGAGUUAAAAAGCACGUGAAAUUGUUGAAAGGGAAGCGCUUGCAAUCAGACUUGUUUAAACUGUUCGGCCGGUCUUCUGACCGGUUUACUCAGUUUGGACAGGCCAGCAUCAGUUUCGGCGGCCGGAUAAAGGCUCUGGGAAUGUGGCCUCCACUUCGGUGGAGGUGUUAUAGCCCAGGGUGUAAUACGGCCAGCCGGGACUGAGGUCCGCG